This 1941-nucleotide long non-coding RNA is filed under the name Mytilus galloprovincialis (Mediterranean mussel). Lineage: Eukaryota; Metazoa; Mollusca; Bivalvia; Mytilida; Mytilidae. The record is from RNAcentral.
CUUUAAUAUGUAACAAAAAAGUGUAUAUAAUUAUUGUGAUGUGCAACCCAGAUUCGUUUUCUUGUUAUAUAAUAAAAUAACAAGAUUGUAGGUAAUAUAAUAACAACAAUUGUAUAAAUGCAAACAUUAUCACAAGAUUUUAAGACUUAACACAACAACAUCAUUCAUCUUCAUUCGAAAUAAUUAACUGGAAACACAGACCUUUCGGUUGAAGUAAGUAAGUUAUGUAAACAAAAGUGUAAUUUAAUUUCAAUUAUUAUAUAUACUGUACCUCUAAAUAUUUUUACACAAAAGAUAAAUAUGAUCAUAAAGGAAAAAUAAUGAUUAGAUUGAAAUGAGAUUUUAAUGAUUUUGAUAAUAUUGAUCUUUUUUGAUUUGUAUUCAUUACAAUUUUCAAAAAUACGCUUUACCAAAAAAUGAAAUGGGAUAUGUUUUGAUUCUCUUUUUUCCCCCAAAUCUUGUACUGUAUUAUCAUCUAAACGACACUUUACUUUCUCAAAUCAAAGUUACCUAUUUUCAAAUAGUAAACCAUUUAUUUGUCAAUCAGUAUAUAUUUAAAAACUAAAAAACUAUCAAAUUAAAACAAUAAUUAAAACAGAUAUUAAACCAAGUAACAUAAAAAUAUCCCACCCCCUUAUAUUUUAAUAAUAAGUUAGAAAUAGAAACUCCCCAACUUAUUAAGACAGUUUGAUAGAAUUUAUUUCUGUUGCUUUUAUUUUUCAAGUACAGCCUGACAUGAAUUCUGUUCGUCAUUUCUCUAAUUUAAAGAUUUCAGCUGCGUCAAUAAUUUAAAUAAUUCAAGAGGGGAAAAAACAUCCUUGACAGUUAAAGUAGAGUGCAGUAAUCAAAUUGGAGUGUAAGACCACUUGAAGUCUAACUUACAGAAAAACAAUUAAAUAAAAGUACAAUUAAAUUUGUUUAAAAAGUGCUUAUGUUUGUAUAAAUAAAAAUAGUGUGUAUGGGAAUAAUGAAAUUUGCUUUCUCAGACAGAAAUAUUUUGAAAUAUAAGGGCAAAGUUUCAUAUAUAGAGAAGUAAUCUCUAUUUAAAGGGACAUGAAAUCGUUGUGAUAAUUUCAAUAGCACGUAAAGUGUGGUAUCUGGUAGAAACUGAUUGAAUUGCCAAGUAACUCAAUUGUUUCUGGUAGUAAUCACUUUUUUAGUAUAUAACAACAAAGAAGUAUGCACAAUUAGACGUGCUCUCUGAUUUUCGCCUACAAGAUGAACAAUCUGCACUGUGUAAAUUGACGAAAGUAUUGUUACGGAGAUAAUAAGAUUAUGUUAAUCAUAACGGUGCUUAAGAAAGAUGACACCAGAUGACAUCCAUUUUUUUUUCAUCGUAGAACUGUGAUAUCAUCCAUCAUCUGUUAUUGAUUUGAGUUCCCUGUGGACUAGAAAUUAUGGUAUAAUAAUAACAUAAUCAAUAUUCUUCAGUAAAAUAUCAUCUUCAAUAUAAAAACAUAUUUUUUACUCUCUUAUAAAUUUUUUUUACAUUCAUUUUCUUUUUAAUAUUAACCUUUUCUAUCAAGGGUGUAAAAUUAUAUUUGUAAAUUAGCCAACUGGGAAAUUAUAAGAAGAAAAAAAUUACCAUAUAUCACUAUGUUUUGUAAGAUCGUGCGAACCAAUGAUAAAUCACCAGGUCAAUUUUUUAUUCUGUUUCUAAUUGAGGACAAAAUAUUAUCCCAUAAAAAGCAAAAACAGGCUGUUGUUAAAUCCUACUUCAAAAUGAAAGGUUAAAUAUUGUAAAAACAAAAAUAUGUCCGAAGUUAGUAAAUUCUACAAUAUCAGAUAGAAUCUUUUAUUCUUUUAACAGACAAUAAUUUUUGGCAAUCAAAUGAAUGAAUAGGGUUAAGUUCGAAAUUGACAUCACUUUGAAAAAAAAACAAGAAAAAAACCCAAUUUAAUCCACUCAUACACAACAUGAAAUGUUAUCUAGCUUUCAAA